Molecule: long non-coding RNA, 328 nt
Filed under: Lathyrus oleraceus (garden pea)
Lineage: Eukaryota; Viridiplantae; Streptophyta; Magnoliopsida; Fabales; Fabaceae
Description: Pisum sativum (pea) long non-coding RNA (PSAT_LNC038038)
Source: RNAcentral
AGAUGAGGUUAAAGUGAGUGGAGCUAUGAGAAAAGUGAAGCUUAAUUUGAUGGAGGCUAGGUUAACAAUGGAGGAAGAGGGAGAGAGAGGUUUCCAAAAUCAGAAAAAGUGAGAAUAAGUGGGGGGAAAGAGAUGUAAUAGAAAGUGGGGCCCAACAUUGAAAAGACCCAAAAUCACAAAAUUUCAAAAACUUACCCGUUACAAACAACACGGCAGUGUUCCUGCACACGGGCGCCCGUGUUAAUCCACUGUUUUAAUUAACACGGCCGUGUGUCACCACACGGGCGCCCGUGUUAAUCCACUGUUUUGAUUAACACGGCCGUGUGUC